RNAcentral lists this ribosomal RNA (468 nucleotides) under uncultured bacterium. RNAcentral describes it as "partial 16S ribosomal RNA". It matches the Rfam family "Bacterial small subunit ribosomal RNA", at positions 28 to 507 of the family's 1533-position model. The record is from RNAcentral.
GACGAACGCUGGCGGCGUGCUUAACACAUGCAAGUCGAACGGAAAGGCCCUGCUUUUGUGGGGUGCUCGAGUGGCGAACGGGUGAGUAACACGUGAGUAACCUGCCCUUGACUUUGGGAUAACUUCAGGAAACUGGGGCUAAUACCGGAUAGGAGCUCCUGCUGCAUGGUGGGGGUUGGAAAGUUUCGGCGGCUGGGGUUGGACUCGCGGCUUAUCAGCUUGUUGGUGGGGUAGUGGCUUACCAAGGCUUUGACGGGUAGCCGGCCUGAGAGGGUGACCGGCCACAUUGGGACUGGGAUACGGCCCAGACUCCUACGGGAGGCAGCAGUGGGGAAUAUUGCACGAUGGGCGGAAGCCUGAUGCAGCAACGCCGCGUGCGGGAUGACGGCCUUCGGGUUGUAAACCGCUUUCGCCUGUGACGAAGCGUGAGUGACGGUAAUGUGUAAAGAAGCACCGGCUAACUACGUG